ACAAAUGUUUUGAUUGGGAAAAGUAGUGUUUUGGGGUAGUUACAGAGAGCUGUUGUUUGGUGGAAAACAGUACUAGGAUAAACAUGAAAAUCACCCAUGAACAGUCUACUGAAAGAAUAAUCAAGUAAGUAAGAACGGAUUGACACUCGUUAUUGUGUUCGGCAUUGGAAGGAUUUUUAUCUGGAGAUGUUUGAGGGGUUAUGAAAAUAACAAUUAGAGUGGUACCGCAGAAUAUAAGUUUUGUCUCUUAA
Molecule: non-coding RNA, 251 nt
Filed under: Clostridium novyi
Lineage: Bacteria; Bacillati; Bacillota; Clostridia; Eubacteriales; Clostridiaceae
Description: T-box sequence
Rfam family: T-box leader
About the family: Uncharged tRNA acts as the effector for transcription antitermination of genes in the T-box leader family. T-boxes are found upstream of many aminoacyl-tRNA synthetase genes and some amino acid biosynthetic genes usually in Gram-positive bacteria. The anticodon of a specific tRNA base pairs to a specifier sequence within the T-box motif, and the NCCA acceptor tail of the tRNA base pairs to a conserved bulge in the T-box antiterminator hairpin.
Source: RNAcentral